CUAAGUUUAUUUAACAAAGCCUAAGAAUGAGAAACAACCUAUACUCUCGAGAUGUCAUGCCAUAGAAUCAGAACAAUUUUUUUAGUGGAUGUCAAAUCUAAGGGUAUUUUCCAACAAGAGAAAAGAAUAUCAUGUAAUAUGACUCAACAACACAUGUAUGACUCGAUCAAACACAAAACAUUUAAGAAAAACAACUUAAACUAAAAAAAACUAAGAAACUAAC
RNAcentral lists this long non-coding RNA (223 nucleotides) under Lathyrus oleraceus (garden pea). RNAcentral describes it as "Pisum sativum (pea) long non-coding RNA (PSAT_LNC023127)". Lineage: Eukaryota; Viridiplantae; Streptophyta; Magnoliopsida; Fabales; Fabaceae. The record is from RNAcentral.